UUCAGAUUUAUAGAAUUCCGAGCAAACACUUCGAUUACCAACCAGAUCCGUGAUGUCGCGACAAUCAUAGCCAGAGAUUCAUUGCUCAAGCUAACGGACUUGCAAUCACAUGAGAGAGCAAACUUAUUAGUCACCAAAUCGAAUCCAUUGAAUAUUGACGGCAGGAAAGAGAAAAUCUCAUCCUUAGCAUCUAGAGAUAACUGAUGACGAUACUGAGUUACGGUGUCGAGCAGUGGUGGAGGAAGCUCCGGUGAGCGCUGUAGUUGAGGGAGGUAGCCAAAGAAUGAAAUCGACGCCAUUAAUUGGAAACAGAAACACUUCUUUGGUUGCUGACGACUGAGUUCAAGAGCAAACAGGUAAAUUUUCCCAUGCUUCUCAACUUUUGUUCCGUGCCAAUCACAUUUUGCUUAGAAUAUUUCAGCUUCAGGAACUUGGUCCUUCCUUUCUGCAUUUGGAUUCUUGUUCUAGUGGAUUCCAAUUGAAGCUCAUUGCUCACUAUACCACCUACAAUCAGUUUAGGUGCAUAAUUAUAUCUAAUCACAGACACAAAGACAAACACAACCAUGUACAUCUAUAGGAGCUUUGAGUAAACGGAGUUGCUUAUCAAACAACUUGUACAUUUUAAUAUUGAUGGAUCUGUCAUUGGAUUAAUCAAGAAUGUAACAUUGCAUUCA
This is a non-coding RNA of Camelina sativa (false flax), 674 nucleotides long. NCBI's taxonomy places the organism in Eukaryota, Viridiplantae, Streptophyta, Magnoliopsida, Brassicales, Brassicaceae. The record is from RefSeq and is a predicted model, not a curated record.